AUGGAUCAGAAAAUUAAUUAAUCUAUAAUUAAAUAAAUAAAAAUACAAAUAUAUUAUUUUAAUAUUUGGUGUGAUGAAUGUCAUUUUUGAUGUUUUAUUAGAGAAGAAACUAAACUAAAUUUGGGUUUCAACAGGUGACCGUUCAAUUGAACGUAAAAAUAAAAGAUAAAUAAAAUAAUAAAUAAAAAUUCAAUUGAGUAAAUGAAUAAACAGAAAGGUCCAGGUUUGCAUGUUAAGUAGAAGAUAAUAUACAAACACAGAAUCUGUUAGACCAAAG
RNAcentral lists this long non-coding RNA (277 nucleotides) under Brassica rapa (field mustard). RNAcentral describes it as "long non-coding RNA (BRAP_LNC006198)". The record is from RNAcentral. Lineage: Eukaryota; Viridiplantae; Streptophyta; Magnoliopsida; Brassicales; Brassicaceae.